CAGUAGCCGCGGUAAUACGGAGGGCGCGAGCGUUACCCGGAUUUACUGGGCGUAAAGGGCGUGUAGGCGGCCUGGGGCGUCCCAUGUGAAAGGCCACGGCUCAACCGUGGAGGAGCGUGGGAUACGCUCAGGCUAGAGGGUGGGAGAGGGUGGUGGAAUUCCCGGAGUAGCGGUGAAAUGCGCAGAUACCGGGAGGAACGCCGAUGGCGAAGGCAGCCACCUGGUCCACUUCUGACGCUGAGGCGCGAAAGCGUGGGGAGCAAACCGGAUUAGAUACCCCUGUAGUCCCUGUCUCUUAUAC
This 301-nucleotide ribosomal RNA is filed under the name uncultured bacterium. RNAcentral's name for it is "partial 16S ribosomal RNA". It matches the Rfam family "Bacterial small subunit ribosomal RNA", at positions 509 to 807 of the family's 1533-position model. The record is from RNAcentral.